Molecule: transfer RNA, 73 nt
Filed under: Myotis davidii
Lineage: Eukaryota; Metazoa; Chordata; Mammalia; Chiroptera; Vespertilionidae
Rfam family: tRNA
About the family: Transfer RNA (tRNA) molecules are approximately 80 nucleotides in length. Their secondary structure includes four short double-helical elements and three loops (D, anti-codon, and T loops). Further hydrogen bonds mediate the characteristic L-shaped molecular structure. tRNAs have two regions of fundamental functional importance: the anti-codon, which is responsible for specific mRNA codon recognition, and the 3' end, to which the tRNAs corresponding amino acid is attached (by aminoacyl-tRNA synthetases). tRNAs cope with the degeneracy of the genetic code in two manners: having more than one tRNA (with a specific anti-codon) for a particular amino acid; and 'wobble' base-pairing, i.e. permitting non-standard base-pairing at the 3rd anti-codon position.
Source: Rfam by way of RNAcentral
GCCGGUGUGGCUCAGCGGAUAGAGCCUCGGCCUGUACACCGAAGGGUCCCGGGUUCGAUUCCGGUCAAGGGCA